GCCUGGGUGGCUCAGUCAGUUGAGUGUCUGACUUUGGCUCAGGUCACCAUCUCAUGGUUUGUGGGUUCGAGCCCCGCAUCGGGCU
This 85-nucleotide transfer RNA is filed under the name Felis catus (domestic cat). It matches the Rfam family "tRNA". Rfam says of the family: Transfer RNA (tRNA) molecules are approximately 80 nucleotides in length. Their secondary structure includes four short double-helical elements and three loops (D, anti-codon, and T loops). The record is from Rfam by way of RNAcentral. Lineage: Eukaryota; Metazoa; Chordata; Mammalia; Carnivora; Felidae.